Camellia sinensis is the source of this 237-nucleotide non-coding RNA. NCBI's taxonomy places the organism in Eukaryota, Viridiplantae, Streptophyta, Magnoliopsida, Ericales, Theaceae. The record is from RefSeq and is a predicted model, not a curated record.
GACUAAUGAUUUUACUGAGCUGAAGAAUCAGAACUUGCAUCUCUCUUUCUCUCUCUCUCCAUGAAAUCAAAGUUGGAAUGAUUGAUGGCACUCUCACGGCUUUGACAUGAGGAUUUAAGAAAGGUAAACUGUCGCGACGAGAGCAAGGUAAGAUUUUUACAGUGAAAGAAGCAUGAGGUGUGAAAUUUCAAAUUUUUUGAGAUAUUAAUAUUUUAAUAAAAAGUAUUAAUAAUUUAU